AUCAAUCUAUCACUUUUUAGGCUUCAAACUAAUUGAUUGCUCAUGAACAAAGCACACUGCUAUUUAGCAUUAGCAAUGGGAGCACCAAAAUUUGAGCCUGAGAGAUUCUAACAUUCAGGCUUAAAUUCUUCAUGCUUAAAUACCAAUGUGGAUAUAUUUACCACAUUCACAUAGUUGUCAUUAGCAUCAAUGAAAGGUGAACAGCCACG
RNAcentral lists this long non-coding RNA (209 nucleotides) under Elaeis guineensis (African oil palm). RNAcentral describes it as "long non-coding RNA (EGUI_LNC006030)". Lineage: Eukaryota; Viridiplantae; Streptophyta; Magnoliopsida; Arecales; Arecaceae. The record is from RNAcentral.